Molecule: ribosomal RNA, 401 nt
Filed under: uncultured bacterium
Lineage: Bacteria
Description: bacterial SSU rRNA
Rfam family: Bacterial small subunit ribosomal RNA
Source: RNAcentral
AUUGAACGCUGGCGGCAUGCCUUACACAUGCAAGUCGAACGGCAGCACGGGAGCAAUCCUGGUGGCGAGUGGCGAACGGGUGAGUAAUGUAUCGGAACGUACCUUUCAGUGGGGGAUAACGUAGCGAAAGUUACGCUAAUACCGCAUAUUCUGUGAGCAGGAAAGCAGGGGACCGCAAGACCUUGCGCUGAUUGAGCGGCCGAUAUCAGAUUAGCUAGUUGGUGAGGUAAAGGCUCACCAAGGCGACGAUCUGUAGCGGGUCUGAGAGGAUGAUCCGCCACACUGGAACUGAGACACGGUCCAGACUCCUACGGGAGGCAGCAGUGGGGAAUUUUGGACAAUGGGCGCAAGCCUGAUCCAGCCAUGCCGCGUGAGUGAAGAAGGCCUCGGUUGUAAGACUC